Molecule: long non-coding RNA, 676 nt
Filed under: Cyanistes caeruleus (blue tit)
Lineage: Eukaryota; Metazoa; Chordata; Aves; Passeriformes; Paridae
Description: lncRNA (ENSCCEG00000021251.1)
Source: RNAcentral
CUAUUAUCACAUGCUUGGGGUUUGUCAGGGAUGGGGGAGGCCUCUGGUUUGUGCUGUCCACACUGCUUCCUCCCCUGGAGGCACUGUGUGUAACAGGAACCUGGUUGAACAUUGCAAAAAGAUGUGUGGAAAUAACUGAUUUUCCUCUUCUGAAAACCUGUGCCUGAUCUGCAGGAGCAGGAAUCCUUUUGAAGAUACUCCUGCAUACUUCAUGUGUACUGGAGGCAGGUUGCAAGGCUGUUUUCCUUUUUCCUUGCUUAAAGGGCUCCUAUUGCCCAGAAAAAUGCCUGUGCAGGGACACCAGAGGGUGUGUUGCCAGCCCUGGCACAUGGUGGCUGUCAAGGGCACUGAAGCACAAGAGACAAGUUCAGGAGACCUGGGUUCCUACAUUGUCCAGAGCUGUUGUAGGUGGACCAGAAUGUUUGCUGCCUGGGAGAGGCUUGUAGACCCAAAAGGCUGGAAGGAAGCACUACAUUUCUCUCCUUUGCCUCCUGUUAAAAGUGUGCCAGAGACACUAAUCCAGCAUUUGAAUUUCAGCCAGGUAGCUGGAAGGGAUGGCAUCUCCUCAGCACCUUCCUCUGAUGGACUACCCAGCUUUGCUUCUCGUCAUGCCUCCCUGUACUUCUCUUCCUUAGGGCAGGAGGGAGGUGUUGCUAGAGAGACUGACUUUCUUUGA